GAUGAACGCUGGCGGCGUGCCUAAUACAUGCAAGUCGAGCGAACAGACGAGGAGCUUGCUCCUCUGACGUUAGCGGCGGACGGGUGAGUAACACGUGGAUAACCUACCUAUAAGACUGGGAUAACUUCGGGAAACCGGAGCUAAUACCGGAUAAUAUAUUGAACCGCAUGGUUCAAUAGUGAAAGACGGUUUUGCUGUCACUUAUAGAUGGAUCCGCGCCGCAUUAGCUAGUUGGUAAGGUAACGGCUUACCAAGGCAACGAUGCGUAGCCGACCUGAGAGGGUGAUCGGCCACACUGGAACUGAGACACGGUCCAGACUCCUACGGGAGGCAGCAGUAGGGAAUCUUCCGCAAUGGGCGAAAGCCUGACGGAGCAACGCCGCGUGAGUGAUGAAGGUCUUCGGAUCGUAAAACUCUGUUAUUAGGGAAGAACAAAUGUGUAAGUAACUAUGCACGUCUUGACGGUACCUAAUCAGAAAGCCACGGCUAACCACGU
Molecule: ribosomal RNA, 496 nt
Filed under: uncultured bacterium
Lineage: Bacteria
Description: partial 16S ribosomal RNA
Rfam family: Bacterial small subunit ribosomal RNA
Source: RNAcentral